GGGGACGUGGCGGAAUUGGUAGACGCACUGGAUUUAGGUUCCAGCACCGAGAGGUGUGAGAGUUCGAGUCUCUCCGUCCCCA
This 82-nucleotide transfer RNA is filed under the name Moraxella catarrhalis. RNAcentral describes it as "tRNA-Leu". It matches the Rfam family "tRNA". Rfam says of the family: Transfer RNA (tRNA) molecules are approximately 80 nucleotides in length. Their secondary structure includes four short double-helical elements and three loops (D, anti-codon, and T loops). Lineage: Bacteria; Pseudomonadati; Pseudomonadota; Gammaproteobacteria; Moraxellales; Moraxellaceae. The record is from RNAcentral.